RNAcentral lists this ribosomal RNA (450 nucleotides) under uncultured bacterium. RNAcentral's name for it is "partial 16S ribosomal RNA". It matches the Rfam family "Bacterial small subunit ribosomal RNA", at positions 354 to 796 of the family's 1533-position model. The record is from RNAcentral.
GCUAAGAAUAUUCCGCAAUGGACGAAAGUCUGACGGAGCGACGCCGCGUGGAUGAAGAAGGCCGAAAGGUUGUAAAGUUCUUUUGUUGGGGAAGAAUAACCAUGGGAGGGAAUGCCCGUGGGAUGACAUGAACCGACGAAUAAGCCCCGGCUAACUACGUGCCAGCAGCCGCGGUAACACGUAGGGGGCGAGCGUUGUUCGGAAUUACUGGGCGUAAAGGGCAUGUAGGCGGUCUUGUAAGCUUGGCGUGAAAGACCACGGCUCAACCGUGGGAUUGCGGUGAGAACUGCGAGGCUUGAGUGACGGAGAGGGAGCUAGAAUUCCUGGUGUAGGGGUGGAAUCUGUAGAGAUCAGGAAGAAUACCAAUGGCGAAGGCAAGCUCCUGGCCGAUGUCUGACGCUGAGGUGCGAAAGUGUGGGGAUCAAACAGGAUUAGAAACCCGAGUAGUCC